GUAUUUCAUUUAGGAAGGACAAGUCAAAUGCACAGCUACAGAAUGGGGAAUAACUGGCUAGGAGGUAGUACGGCUGCAAAGGAUCUGGGGGUCAUACUAGAUCACAAAUAAUACUAGGGGUCAACAAUGUAACGGAACUGUGAAAAAGGCUAAUAUCAGUGUGGGACGUAUUAACAGGAGUGUUCUGUGUAAGACAGGGGAUGUAAUUGUCCCGCACCGAAGCCUCAGCUGGAAUAGUGAGUGCAAUCCUGGGUGCCCCUCUUUAGGAAAGACGAGUCCAGAGGUGAGCAACCAAAAAUGAUCAACGGUUCAGAAAACCUGACCUGAAAGGUUAAAAAACAACUAGGCAUGUUUAGUCCUGAGAAAAGGAAGCUGAGAGGGGAUCUGAGAACAGCCUUCCAAUCUGCUAAGGGCUGCUCCGAAGAGGACUGUAAAUAGGCUUCCAAGGGAGGUUGUGGAAUCCCCAUCACCGGAGGGUUUUAAGAAUAGGUUGGACAAACACCUGGCAGGGAUGGUCUCGGUUUACUUGGUCCUGCCACAGAUCAGGUUCUGGAUUGAUGAGGCCUUGUGGCCCCUUCCAACCCUGUAUUUCUAUGAUUCUGUGAUCCCAGACUGAUGACAACAGCCCUCAAGGUAUCCUGCGGAGAGCAGAAACCAGGAGGAAAGACAGAAAUUAAGCGAACCCCUUACACGACAACCUUUAUAUUAUUGGCUGCAAAUAUACAACAAUGGUCGCAACAGUGAUCUACACAGUUACAGAUUAUUUCAAUAACAUCACAGGAGGGGACACGGCAUCAGAGAGACUGAUAUUGGAAUACUGCAUCCCGUUUUGGUGUCCUCAUUCGAGAAAGAUGUUGUGAAAUUGGAGCUGGGCAGCAAAGACCCACCAAAUGUUCUGAGGGCUGGAGAAAAAUGACUUCUCGUGAGCUACUGAAAGAGCUCGACCUGUUUAGCUUAUCAAAAGAAGAUUGAAAGGUGACUUCAUUGAAGUGUUGAAGUGCCUUAAUGGAGAGAAAAUAUUGGAUAUUAAAGGGCUCUUUAAUCUAGCAGAGAAAGGCAUAACAAGACCCAAUGGCUGGAAGGUGAAAAGAGAUUCAUAUGACAAAUAAGGCACAAAUGUUCAACAGCGAGGAUGAUGAGUGAGGAGAAGGGAGAGAACAACACUGAACAUCAUCCAUCCAUUGCUCCAUCACCUAGAGCAAGAUGGCCAGGUUCCUGGGGGUGUUCAGGAAGAAGGCUCUGCAGGUGGCCCCAGAGCCUGAGGGAAGCAGCUGCCAUCUUCCCCAGGAGCAGAGUGGCCCCUCCAUCCCCGCUGGCAGGGAAGGAGCUCCUGGCUGGGCCAGGAGGUGGAAGUGCCCGGCCUUCUGGCAGAGAAAACCCGCUCCUGGUGCAGGCGCCGAGAUGGGAGAGGCAGUGGCCAGGCCAAAAUGGAGCUGGGCCAGGAUGCAGCUGUCAGGCAGGACCCAGCCCAGGAGCAGAACCUGGCAGGGUGGCUCUGGGGCUUGUUGUAUGGGCAGCAGCAGCCCCAGGAGCCCAGCCGUGAUUUCCAGCAGGAGGCAUCGCCCUGCCCGGUC
Chelonia mydas (Green sea turtle) is the source of this 1574-nucleotide long non-coding RNA. RefSeq lists it as uncharacterized. Lineage: Eukaryota; Metazoa; Chordata; Testudines; Cheloniidae. The record is from RefSeq and is a predicted model, not a curated record. The transcript is spliced from 3 exons.